RNAcentral lists this unclassified non-coding RNA (178 nucleotides) under uncultured Fonsecaea. Its description in RNAcentral is "sequence contains ITS2". Lineage: Eukaryota; Fungi; Ascomycota. The record is from RNAcentral.
UGACCCCCUCAAGCUUCGUGCUUGGUGUUGGACGGCUCGGUGGACCCCUCCACCCGUCCUAAAGACAAUGACGGCGGCCUCGCGGAACCCCCGGUACACUGAGCUUCUUAACUGAGCACGUAUCGGAUCAAGGGCGCCCGGGGCACGGUCCUCUUCCCCUCGGGGAAAAUUUUCUCAA